RNAcentral lists this long non-coding RNA (628 nucleotides) under Trifolium pratense (red clover). RNAcentral's name for it is "long non-coding RNA (TPRA_LNC008133)". The record is from RNAcentral. Lineage: Eukaryota; Viridiplantae; Streptophyta; Magnoliopsida; Fabales; Fabaceae.
UAAUAAUAGACCAUAAUAGUGAAAGAAAUGAGGUUCUUAUUGCAGUUUCCAUACUUUUCAUGUUUCUGUUUUGUCACACCAAAGAAAGAGAAGCAUAGGGAGAAGAAGAAUGAAGUCAAGAGACCUUAAUAAAGGGAAAAUCUCCAGCUAUAAUGUUCCUCAUGAGUCAUGUUCAUGAAUAUUCAUUAGGAAUUUCUAUAAUUUACUAUCAUUUUUAACAUUUUCUGCCUAUGUCAAUGUAUAUCGCGUCUUCUUAUGUAAUGCUUCAUGCUUUGCAAGAGAAAUGUUAACAUUGCGCGCCCUUUAACACUUUCACUUGAAGUGUUAUAUUUAUUGGAUGAAAUUCAUGCGAGUUACCUUUUGUCACUUUCAUUUAAUAACUAAAGUCCCUAUAAUAACAAUAAAUAACCACUUACCUAGCCAUAACUAGUACUAUAUGAUUAAGAUUAAGAACCAUAUGUCAGCUCUGAGAAUGAGGGUUUCCUCUUUUAAUAUCAACUCUACAUAAUUUACAUGCAUAUCUUAGAAAAGUGGAUGAAUAAAGGAUAAUUCAUCCACUUUCUAUAAAAGUUAGAGUUUUCAGUUCAUAUGAAAUGGCCAAGACAUUUGUAUACACAUGUGUGAUAUG